AACUAUAACGGUCCUAAGGUAGCGAAAUUCCUUGUCAGGUAAGUUCUGACCCGCACGAAUGGCGUAAUGAUUUGGGCACUGUCUCAACAGCCCGCCCGGCGAAAUUGUAGUACUGGUGAAGAUGCCAGUUACCCGCAACUAGACGGAAAGACCCCAUGGAGCUUUACUGCAGUUUAAUACUGGGAAUCGGUAAUGCAUGUACAGGAUAGGUGGGAGACUUGGAAGCAUAGUCGUCAGGCUAUGUGGAGUCACCGGUGGGAUACCACUCUUGUAUUGCUGGUUUCCUAACCUGCGGCCGUGAAUCCGGUCGGGGGACACUGUUAGACGGGCAGUUUGACUGGGGCGGUCGCCUCCAAAAGAGUAACGGAGGCGCUCAAAGGUUCGUUCAGCACGGACGGAAAUCGUGCACUGAGUGUAAACGCAUAAACGAGCCUAACUGCGAGAAUGACGGUUCGAGCAGUAACGAAAGUUGGAGUUAGUGAUCCGGCGGUAUGUGAAUGGAAAUGCCGUCGCUCAACGGAUAAAAGCUACCCUGGGGAUAACAGGCUGAUCUCCCCCAAGAGUCCACAUCGACGGGGAGGUUUGGCACCUCGAUGUCGGCUCAUCGCAUCCUGGGGCUGAAUUCGGUCCCAAGGGUUUGGCUGUUCGCCAAUUAAAGCGGUACGCGAGCUGGGUUCAGAACGUCGUGAGACAGUUCGGUCCCUAUCUGUUGCGGGCGCAGGAAUAUUGAGAGGAGCUGUCCUUAGUACGAGAGGACCGGGAUGGACGUACCGCUGGUGCACCAGUUGUUCUGCCAAGGGCAUAGCUGGGUAGCUAAGUACGGACGAGAUAAACGCUGAAGGCAUCUAAGCGUGAAACUCCCCUCGAGAUAAGUGUUCCCAUCCUUCGGGAGUAAGGCCCCUUGUAGACUACAAGGUUGAUAGGUCAGGAGUGGAAGUGCAGUAAUGUAUGGAGCGGACUGAUACUAAUAGGCCGAGGGCUUGACCUU
This 988-nucleotide ribosomal RNA is filed under the name human gut metagenome. RNAcentral describes it as "bacterial LSU rRNA". It matches the Rfam family "Bacterial large subunit ribosomal RNA", at positions 1938 to 2925 of the family's 2925-position model. The record is from RNAcentral.